GGUAAACGCUGGCGGCGUGCCUAAAACAUGCAAGUCGAACGGACAGUCGCAAGAUUGUCAGUGGCAGACGGCUGAGUAACGCGUGGGUGACGUACCUGUUGGUGGGGAAUAACUGCCCGAAAGGGUGGCUAAUUCCGCAUAAGUCCGUCGGUUCAAUCCGACGGGGAAAGCUUCUUGUAAAAGAGAGGCGCCGAUGGAGCGGCCCGCGUCCGAUUAGCUUGUUGGUGGGGUAACGGCCUACCAAGGCGACGAUCGGUAGCUGGUCUUAGA
Molecule: ribosomal RNA, 270 nt
Filed under: uncultured bacterium
Lineage: Bacteria
Description: partial 16S ribosomal RNA
Rfam family: Bacterial small subunit ribosomal RNA
Source: RNAcentral